Molecule: non-coding RNA, 1184 nt
Organism: Peromyscus maniculatus bairdii (prairie deer mouse)
Lineage: Eukaryota; Metazoa; Chordata; Mammalia; Rodentia; Cricetidae
Source: RefSeq, a predicted model, not a curated record
GGUGUCGCCGACUCUUGUCUCCACCCCGGACCUCCGAGGCCGGUGCGGACGUCAACCCUCCGGGCCCUGCACCCACCCCCACCCCCACCCCAGGGAACGGCAAGGGUCCGAGUGUGGUUCGGUUGUCAUGCGCUUGCCUAUGUCACUUGUGUUGACGGUCACCUCUGAUCCCAAGCAGGCCAAGUGUCCCAGCCCAUCCUUCUACUCCUCCGGACUCCUUUUUAAGCGCACCUGCCCAGACCUCCUCCGGAGGGACGAAAGGCCGGGGAAGGAAAAACCUACCCACCGAGAUGCCCGUGGACUACCGGCAACCGGCUGACUUCAGCGAUGCACCUCUCUCUCCCAGGCUCCAUUUUAGCCUGGAAGUUUUCCGUGUCGGGGGUGCCUUCUUGUCUGUUUUAACUCCGACCAGUGAUAAAGUCACAGCAGGACAGACUGAAGCCAGGUUGAGAAUCCAGUAUCUAGCAAGAGUGUGCUGACUCGCCUUUAACCCCAAGAUCGGAAAGACUGUAAUAUAAAGUUGAAGCUAACCUAGGCUAUGUGUAGGUUCAAAAGGAGAUUUGCCAGCAAGACUCAGAGGAAGCUGUAUCUGUGGUGUGGAGGAGAGUCACAAACACUCCAGCCUCCAACCACUGUGUCUAAAUCUGUCCGUAAAGCAGCCAUCUCCUGGUGACAUUCAGUCCUAGAGAAAGACAUCCUCCAGUGGUAACAUUGUCUCCACCAGGAUAAGACACAGAAUUGCAUCUACAGGAGUUUAUAAAAGAAAGUGGAGGAGUGAAGAUUUACUAGUGAAAACAACCUGCUCAGCUGAGAUCCAUCCAGGAGAGGAUUCAGAAUCCUACAGUCUGCAGUCUGAGGAAACAAGAUCAGCUGAGGAGUUGACAAAUGAGCAAAACAUGACCUGAGAACACAAAAGAAGGCACCGCCCAGCCACUGGACCAGAUCACCAGAAUCAUAAGCCUACACUACACCGACUGGGAACAGGUAAGCCCCCAUCUCCAAAUCGGCAGAUCAGGUCUCUAGCCCCUAGGCCCUACCCAUCAGAGUCCCAGGGAACAGACAGCUACCUUUUCCUGUUCCCCCACCGAAAAAAAAAACAAAAACAAAACCCAACCCUUAUGAACCUAACAACCACUACUGAAACCAUAAGCAGGCCCUGCACCAACUGGGAACAACUGCUUCCU